UUAAAGAGAGUCCAAGAGUGCUUGCAAAUUGUCUAGGAAAGGAGGGAAGCGGUAAUGAGGGCCUGAGCGAUCGGCAUUUCCUACGCGCUCGGAACAUCGCGAAAAACGGCGCCAAUCCGGACAUAAUCCUACACAACCCCAACCAGCUAGCGCCAGAUAUUCGUUGCCCGGACGAAAUAAAGGCGUGGACCGACGCGCAUUAAGGUGGUGACCUAAACCCGAGCUUUUGUUACGCCCGCGAAGACGUCGCUGCCUUAACAGUGGUCUGCAGCACGCGACUCACGGAGUGCCUCGGCAUCUGAGUGCUCAGGGCGUCGGCCUGUGGGCUCCCCAUUCGACCCUUCUUUAAACACGGACCAAGUAGUCUGACAUGUGUGCGAGUCAACGGUUGAGUAAACCCGUAAGGCGCGAGGAAGCUGAUUGGCUGCAUCCCUCACGGGUGCACAAACGACCGACCUUGAUCUUAUGAGAAGGGUUCGAGUGUGACCAUGCCUGUCGGGACCCGAAAGUUGGUGAACUAUGCCUGAGGUGGGCGAAGCCAGAGGAAAUUCUGGUGGAGGCUCGCAGCCAUACUGACGUGCAAAUCGUUCGUCUGACAUGGGUCUAACAAAUAACAGGGGCGAAAGUGGAGACCUCAAUCGACCAUCUAGUUAAGCGAUGGCCUCCUCCGCUACCGAAGCUUAACCUAUCAGAAUACAGCUGGAGCUACGAGAAAUACUGAAUUACUCCUCAAAUCGAGAAGUUAAAAGCCACAAUAGCAUUUAGAAGGUCGUACUCGAAGGGACGCAAUGGUCCUCGCACCUAUUCUUCAUUCACUUUAAAAGGGUAGACGGCCGAGAGUGACUAGCCUUUGUUUGAACCAGCCAUUACCCACGGAGAAUUGAGAGCUCCCAACAGUGGGCCAUAUUUUUGGUACCCGCAGACUGUGCGAAAUGCGAAGGUCCGAUGAACCGGAAGUACGGGUUCCCACGGCUGUAACCAAAAAAAACUGCCCGGACUAACAUAGAACCCACAAAGGGUGUUUGUCGAUUAAUACAGCAGGACGGUGGUCAAGGAAGUCGAAAUCCGCUUAGGAGUGUCUAACAACUCACCUGCCGAAACAACAAGCCCCGAAAAUGAAUGGCGCUGAAUUCUGCUAGCCAUAUCGCCCGCAACCUCACAUAGAAUAACAGAAACACCCGUCAAGGCCGGCAGAGACUCCAAGGACCUCAGCAUAUAAGAUACAAGAACAUAGAAGGCCGCACCCCAGGCGAGUUGCUGCAAAAAACUUAUGGCGCAGAGCCCGGGGCGGAACCAACCCUCGGCUCCCAUCUCUGCGUGUGCAGAAUCUUUGGAAUGGAUAAGUACAAAUACUUCUCAAAUAGAGAAACUUUUCGAAGACCCGGCCCGAAAAGCGAGAGAGAAACGGUUCCAAUUGUGAAUCAGGCUCUCCACAAGAUUGGCACAGUAGGUUAGUCGAAUCCUAUAGAGUCACGGGCGAUGAAAACGUCUAUCGAUAAGCGCUUAUGAGCGAACUUCGAAAGGGGAUCUGGUUAAAAUUCCGGAACCCGGACGUGGCGGUUGACGGUAACGUUAGGGAGUCCGGAUACGUCGGCGGUAAUUCCGUAAAGAGUUAUCUUUUCUGCUUAACAGCCUGCCCACCCUGUGAACGGCUCAGCCGGAGGUAAUGUCCAAAACUCUGGCUGGAAGAGCACCGCACGUCGCUUGGUGUCCGGUGCAUCCCCGCCGGCCCUUGAAAAUCUGGAGGGCCGAGUGCCGCUCAUGCCUGGUCGUACUCAUAACCGCUUCAGGUCUCCAAGGUGAACUGCCUCUGGUCGAUGGAACGAUGUAGGCGAGGGAAGUCGGAAAAAUGGAUCCGUAACUUUGGGAAAGGGAUUGGCUCUGGGGGCUGGGCUCGGGGGUCUCAGUUCCGAGCCCGUCGAGUGUUGGCGGGGUGCUUGAGCUACUAACGUGGCGAGAGUGAACCGCCUAGUGUCGGCCGGGGGACGGACUGGGAACGGCUAUUUCGGGAGCUUUCCCCGAGCGUCGAACAGCCAACUCAGAAACGGCACGGACAAGGGAGAAAAUCAGACUGUUUAAUUAACACAAAGCAUUGCGAUUGUCCCUGCGGAUGCUAACGCAAUGUUGUUUCUGCCCAGUGCUCUGAUUGUCAAAGUGAAGAAAUUAAACAAAGCGCGGGUAAACGGCGAGAGUAACUAUGACUCUCUUAAGGUAGACCAAUGCCUCGUCAUCUAAUUAGUGACGCGCCAGAAUGGAUUAACGAGAUUACAACUGUCCCUGUCUACUAUACAGAGAAACCACAGCCAAGGGAAAGGGCUUGGCAAAAUCAGCAGGGAAAGAAGACACUGUUGAGAUUGACUCUAGUCCAACUUUGUGAAAUGACUUGAGACGGGUAGUCUAAUACAGUACACAUUUACACGCUGCAGAGCUUCAUGCACGUAGAAAAAUACCAUACUUUUAAGUUUAUUUUACUUACUCCGUGUAUCGGAGGCGGGGUAACAUCCCCUUCUUUUAGACCCAAGACUAGCUUUGGCGGGUCGAUCCUGGCGGAGGACAUUGUCAGUUGGGGGGUUUGGCUGGGGUGGCACUUCUGUUAAAAGAUAACGCUGGUGUCCUAAGAUGAGAUCAAAGAGAACAGAAAUCUAGUGUGGAAAAAAAGGGUAAAAGCUCGUUUGAUUUUUAUUUUUCAGUUACGGAAUGAACCGAUGAAAGCGUGGGUUUUACCUUAUCGAUCCUUUAGACCUUUCGAAUUUGAAGCUAGAGGUAUCAGAAAAGUUACCACAGGGAUUAAUGGCUUGUGGCAGCCAAGGUUUCAUAGCGACGUUGCUUUUUUUUGAUCCUUCUAUUCGGGCUCUUUUUCUGUGAUCCUUCCUUAUCAUUGUGAAGCAUGAAUUCACAAGUGUUUGGAUUGCUUCCCCUUACCCACAUAGAACGUGAGCUUGUUUUAGACCGUCGUGAGACAUGUUAUUUUUACCCUACUGAUGCCCGCUUCGCAAUAGUAAUUCAACCAAGUACGAGAGGAACCGUUGAUUUACACAAUUGGUCAUCUUUUGCGCUCUCCGUGAAUUAAUGCUCAUUCACGCACUGGCGACGAACUCUUACCCGGCGCGUAUUGGAUAUAAAAAUGGACCCACUGAACUUCUCUAAGUCAGAAUCUGGGGUAAAAGCGACGCAUGCACCUGCCACCCGAUUGCUGACCCUUAGUAGGAGCUUCGGCUCCCAAAGGCCAGUGUCGUUGGU
RNAcentral lists this ribosomal RNA (3240 nucleotides) under Brassica rapa (field mustard). RNAcentral describes it as "eukaryotic LSU rRNA". It matches the Rfam family "Eukaryotic large subunit ribosomal RNA", at positions 378 to 3228 of the family's 3401-position model. Lineage: Eukaryota; Viridiplantae; Streptophyta; Magnoliopsida; Brassicales; Brassicaceae. The record is from RNAcentral.